UAGUCAUAUCAUGCCGAAACACCAUUUCCCGUACGAUCACCAAAGUUAACAACGUCGAUCCUGGUCAGUACCUAGAUGGGUAACCGCUUGGGAGUACCAGGU
Molecule: ribosomal RNA, 102 nt
Filed under: Acanthosepion pharaonis
Lineage: Eukaryota; Metazoa; Mollusca; Cephalopoda; Sepiida; Sepiidae
Source: RNAcentral